GAGAGCCGGAUGCGGGGAAAGCCGCGCGUCCGGUUCGAGCGGGCGGCCUUGAGGGCUGCUGCAGGAUCUGACCAAGCAGAU
RNAcentral lists this non-coding RNA (81 nucleotides) under Halopolyspora algeriensis. Lineage: Bacteria; Bacillati; Actinomycetota; Actinomycetes. The record is from RNAcentral.